This is an RNA transcript of Durio zibethinus, 1535 nucleotides long. It is a transcript of the gene named receptor-like protein 13, with no coding region annotated. NCBI's taxonomy places the organism in Eukaryota, Viridiplantae, Streptophyta, Magnoliopsida, Malvales, Malvaceae. The record is from RefSeq and is a predicted model, not a curated record.
AGCUUCAGUGGUUUGAGUAUCAAAAUAAAAUCAAAUUGGGUCCCUUCUUUUCAAUUGGAAUACAUUGGAAUGAACUCUUGCAAAUUUGGAACAGGGUUUCCUCAAUGGGUUCAAACGCAAUUGAAAGCAACAUCACUAGUUCUUUCCAAUACUAGCAUCUCGGGUAACCUUCCAAUAUUGCCUUCCAACUUGAAGCACGUCAAUCUCUCUAAUAACUGGAUCUCAGGGGCACUUCCCGAAAAUAUUGGUGAUAUCUUGCGUCAGUUGAGGAUUUUGAUUCUUUCUGACAACCUUAUGAACGGUUCCAUUCCAAACUCGCUUUGUCGUAUUAAAACUCUGGUAGUUCUAGAUCUUUCCAAAAAUACCUUGUCUGGGAACGUUCCUGACUGUUGGAAAGAUAAUCAUGACAUAGAAGUUUUAGAUCUAUCAUCUAACAAGCUCUCAGGUGUUAUCCCCAGCUCUAUUGGGCAUCUUGAUUCACAGAGAUGGUUUAUCUUGAGCAACAACAGUCUCAACGGCGAGCUACCAUUGGCCUUAAAAAAUUGCUCAUCUCUUAGAUUUUUGGAUCUUGGUGAGAAUACAUUAUCUGGAAAUGUAGCUAAAUGGAUCGGGGAAAGUUUUUGCUCCCUAGAAGUUCUCAGGUUACGAGAAAAUAAAUUCAAUGGUAGUAUCCCUUUGCAACUCUGCCAACUCUCUUCUGAUCUGCGAAUUCUUGAUCUUGCAGAAAACAAUCUAUAAGGGAGGAUACCUCAUUGCUUCGGCAACUUAACUGGCAUGGUCCUUCCUCGGAUGGAUGUCAUUAGUCUUAAAAGCUAUAAUUAUAAACACUUGCUAUGGUGGGAUGUGGAGCACUUAACAGAGGUCAUGAAAGGAAGAUUCCUCGAAUGCACAUCAACAUUGUCGUUUUUGGUAAAUUUGGACCUCUCAAGUAAUAAACUGGAGGGACAAAUCCCUGAAGAGCUAACUUUCCUUACAGGGUUAAUUGGUCUGAAUUUGUCUCGUAACCAGUUGUCAGGGAUGAUGCCUGAGAAGAUGGGGGAACUUGAGGUGCUGGAAUCUCUCGACUUGUCAUUAAAUGAACUUUCUGGCUUGAUUCCAAGUAGUUUGUCAACUCUAACUAAACUGAGUCACCUCAACUUGUCAUACAACAACUUCUCAGGGCAGAUUCCAAAUGGCAAUCAACUCCAAACUCUUGAUGAUCCAUCCAUUUAUGCUGAUAACCCCCUACUCUGUGGCACUUCACUAUUAAAGAAAUGCUUGGAUGAUGAGCCUCGUCAAGACAACAAAGACAAUGGUCCAAAGAUCGGGUGCUUGUGCUUGUAGCAUUGAAGAUGGCAAGUGUCAAAAACAUGAUCAAGGGAAACCGUACAGAUGAGUGAAAAUGAACUCAGGUACUAGCAUCUAUGAAAACAAUUGCAUUCAAGCUGCAAGAAUUUGACUUUGCACUUGCAAUCUAGUAGUUUUGCUUUUUGGUACUUUUAACUUAGUUCUAUUUUGUGUUAUGUAUUGUGAAUUUGUGAAUUGUGAUGGACUUC